CUGUCUAGUGUCAGAAUGACAUCCACACUUCUCUGUCCAGUGAAAGAGACGAAGGCGAAGAGGAAGAGGAAGCUGAUUGUUGACAACCUGAAAGAGCUGGACAGUAAGUCGAUCCGCGCCCAGCUCAGCGACUACUCGGACAUCGUGACCACGUUGGACCUGGCCCCUCCCACCAAGAAGCUGAUGAUGUGGAAAGAGACCGGAGGAGUGGAGAAACUCUUCUCUCUCCCCGCACAGCCGCUCUGGAACGGCAAACUGUUGAAGAUGUUUACGCGCUGCCUGACUCCCCUGGUGCCGGAUGAGAUGAGGAAGAGGAGGAAGGGAGGAGAGGCUGAUAGUCUGGAUGAGUUCCUGAAGGACCUGGAGAACCCCGAGGUGCCCAGAGAGGAGGCUCUGUCUGGCAGGGACGUUAUUGACCAGACCAUCAUGGAAACCAACCCAGUCUCUCUGCAGGCCUCAGCCAUGGAGGGAAGUAGGACGACUCCUGGACCAGACCUGUCAUUAUGCAAACCACCCUCCACCCCACAGACGGACUCAAACACAAGGAGGCUGGCCUGCCCAUGGGAGCCCAGGAGCCUCAGGCUGAUCUCUCAGUCCUCUCCAUGGCCCAGGUAGACCUGCCCCAGGUAGACCUGCCCCAGGUAGACCUGCCCCCAGAGGAGAGCCUCAGCCUCACACAGCUGGUCCCUGAGCUGGAUCUGCUGGACAAGGAGAAGAAGGACAAGGAUGACAGUGAUGAGGAGGAGGAGGAGGGGGAUCCAACUCAGGACCAGGAGGAGAAGAGGUGGAACAAGAGGACCCAACAGAUGCUACAUGGCCUUCAGCGAGUCAUGGCCAAGACGGGAGCCGAGCAGGUCAGCUUGUUGGCGCUGUGCCGAGACAACAACAAGAAGCAGGCGGCCGCCAAGUUCUACAGUUUCCUGGUUCUGAAGAAACAGCAGGCCAUCGAGCUCAACCAGACCGAGCCUUACAGUGACAUCAUCGCUACAGCCGGACCAAGAUUCCACCUGGUUUAGACACUGCCUGCGGUCCAAAUGGCACCAGUUCCUAUACAGCGCCCUACUUUUGACCAGAGCCCUCCUAGGGUUCUGGGCAAAAGUAGUGCACUAUAUAGGGAAUAUGGUGCUAUUUGGAAAUGUCUUUCUCACUAUUUUUAUGUAUGUUUUAGUUGUUUGUUUUUGUUUUGUUGGGGGGGUCAUAAAUGCUAACUUUGAGAAGGAUUGUACUGUUUCUACCACCAACUGAAUCAUGCAGUAUUGUUGUUUUUUUAGUGAGAAAUGCAUUUAUCCAGUAUAUUUAUAUUUCCUGUCAAGUUUUUUUUUUUUUUUUCAUUUUGUAAAGCUUUCCGACCACACUCGUUGUUUUGUUUUGGGGGUAGUGGGUGGGGGUGGGGGGGGUUUGGAAUAAUACAUGUCCCACUGCUCGGUAACGGUCAAAUUCAUCAAAAGAUUCAUCCAAUUUUUUUAGUCUCCAAUCAAGAUUUCCCCUCCAAAAAUUGUGUAAGAACAUUUAGUCUUUCAUGCUAACAUACAUGCUGUUUACAGGUACUGUUAUAUCAUGAGAGAAACGGAAUAAGUGCUCUUCACCUCGAGGUCUUCCUCAUUGCACUUGACAUAAAAUCCUGGCUUUCAUAUUAAAAAGCAAAUGUUUCGUUUUUACAGUUUGUUAUUUCUGUUGAUAAAUUGGCUAUAUUACGACUAGCAUUGCAUUGUAUUGUUUAGGUGUGUAAUAAUGCCCAUUUUAUUCACGUUGCGUUUUGUACCUCCACAGCUAUGUUUCUUGUCGUUGCAUAAAGUAACUAGACGCUUGUACAUGUUUCAAUGAAAGUUGAUGAUCCCAUGUUUUUUAAGUCUUAUGGUUAACUAGCUGUUGUGAUACUUCUGUAAAGAAUUUGAAAUAAAAGUGUUUUAAUUA
This is an RNA transcript of Oncorhynchus gorbuscha (pink salmon), 1914 nucleotides long. It is a transcript of the gene named double-strand-break repair protein rad21 homolog A-like, with no coding region annotated. NCBI's taxonomy places the organism in Eukaryota, Metazoa, Chordata, Actinopteri, Salmoniformes, Salmonidae. The record is from RefSeq and is a predicted model, not a curated record. The transcript has 6 exons.